RNAcentral lists this long non-coding RNA (355 nucleotides) under Capra hircus (goat). RNAcentral describes it as "lncRNA (ENSCHIG00000005067.1)". The record is from RNAcentral. Lineage: Eukaryota; Metazoa; Chordata; Mammalia; Artiodactyla; Bovidae.
CAGCUUCCUCAGGGGGUGACAGUCCUCCACAGAAACUGAGGAGACAGCACUUCUGAUUCAGGCCUGAACCAGACUUCUAGACAAAAGCUGUCUACUUUGAAGAUGUCCUCAUCUCUUCCCAGCCAGGUGGAGUCUUAGCUGUCCUGUUUCUAGAUGAAAAGUAACUUAAGUAAGAGGCCACCUGGCUUCAGAUGACUUCCAGGAGUGCCAGCCAUCAUCUGACUCAGCAAAUAUGAUUUUAUAACCUAAUCAUGAACUUGAACCACACCAUGCAGAAGGGGAUGUAUUUUUAUCUUUUAUGUAAGUAGGAUCUUCAAAGCGUCUUAGCUUCUGAUGUGUCAUUUUUAAAGGGAGG